CGAAGUAGCUCAGUGGUAGAGCAACGCUCUCGUAAAGCGUAGGUCGUGGGUUCAAAUCCCAUCUUCGG
RNAcentral lists this transfer RNA (68 nucleotides) under marine eukaryotic metagenome. It matches the Rfam family "tRNA". Rfam says of the family: Transfer RNA (tRNA) molecules are approximately 80 nucleotides in length. Their secondary structure includes four short double-helical elements and three loops (D, anti-codon, and T loops). The record is from RNAcentral.